CUUAUGCCUCUACUAUCCCUUUGUGGAUUUGGGUAACCCCCACCUUAGGUUAAUUCCUAUUUUACCACCCGGGCUCCUUAUCGAAUCCUAUUGUAUCUCUUUGGUGACUUCUACCAAUCUUGAUUUUUUGCUUG
Lolium rigidum is the source of this 134-nucleotide long non-coding RNA. RefSeq lists it as uncharacterized. Lineage: Eukaryota; Viridiplantae; Streptophyta; Magnoliopsida; Poales; Poaceae. The transcript has 2 exons. The record is from RefSeq and is a predicted model, not a curated record.